This 305-nucleotide ribosomal RNA is filed under the name uncultured bacterium. RNAcentral's name for it is "bacterial SSU rRNA". It matches the Rfam family "Bacterial small subunit ribosomal RNA", at positions 338 to 660 of the family's 1533-position model. The record is from RNAcentral.
CCUACGGGGGGCAGCAGUGGGGAAUAUUGCACAAUGGGGGAAACCCUGAUGCAGCGACGCCGCGUGAGUGAAGAAGUAUCUCGGUAUGUAAAGCUCUAUCAGCAGGAAAGAUAAUGACGGUACCUGACUAAGAAGCCCCGGCUAACUACGUGCCAGCAGCCGCGGUAAUACGUAGGGGGCAAGCGUUAUCCGGAUUUACUGGGUGUAAAGGGAGCGUAGACGGCAGCGCAAGUCUGGAGUGAAAUGCCGGGGCCCAACCCCGGAACUGCUUUGGAAACUGUGCGGCUCGAGUGCGGGAGAGGUAG